Molecule: ribosomal RNA, 525 nt
Filed under: Cobetia amphilecti
Lineage: Bacteria; Pseudomonadati; Pseudomonadota; Gammaproteobacteria; Oceanospirillales; Halomonadaceae
Description: bacterial SSU rRNA
Rfam family: Bacterial small subunit ribosomal RNA
Source: RNAcentral
AGCCUGAUCCAGCCAUGCCGCGUGUGUGAAGAAGGCCUUCGGGUUGUAAAGCACUUUCAGCGAGGAAGAACGCCUUGGGAUUAAUACUCUCGAGGAAAGACAUCACUCGCAGAAGAAGCACCGGCUAACUCCGUGCCAGCAGCCGCGGUAAUACGGAGGGUGCAAGCGUUAAUCGGAAUUACUGGGCGUAAAGCGCGCGUAGGUGGCUAAGUCAGCCAGGUGUGAAAGCCCCGGGCUCAACCUGGGAACGGCAUCUGGAACUGCUUGGCUAGAGUGCAGGAGAGGAAGGUAGAAUUCCCGGUGUAGCGGUGAAAUGCGUAGAGAUCGGGAGGAAUACCAGUGGCGAAGGCGGCCUUCUGGACUGACACUGACACUGAGGUGCGAAAGCGUGGGUAGCAAACAGGAUUAGAUACCCUGGUAGUCCACGCCGUAAACGAUGUCAACUAGCCGUUGGGUCCCUUGAGGACUUAGUGGCGCAGCUAACGCAAUAAGUUGACCGCCUGGGGAGUACGGCCGCAAGGUUAA